Long non-coding RNA from Ailuropoda melanoleuca (giant panda), 1385 nucleotides. RefSeq lists it as uncharacterized. The record is from RefSeq and is a predicted model, not a curated record. The transcript is spliced from 3 exons. NCBI's taxonomy places the organism in Eukaryota, Metazoa, Chordata, Mammalia, Carnivora, Ursidae.
UUCUUAGUGUUCAGUCAAAACGACUACCUUCUCGCGCCACUCCGCAAGGAGAAAAGGAAACCCCUCCCUUUUGCCUCUCUCCAGUGGUUAUUGCAGAUGCCCAUCUUCUGCGUCUCUACCCGAUUAGUCAAUGAAGAGUGGAAAGGGUCGUAGGACCACCGGUCGUCUCUGAUUGGGUGAAAAAGGAAAGCCCGCCCCAAGUCGGCAGGCACUCUUUUGGCGCAGUCUAGGAAGGGAUCCGAGGAGGUAUGAGGGCAGUUUGCUUGGACGGGUAUUCAGAGGAAGCCUCACUGAGAAGGUGACAUUCUUGCAAAGACCUGAAGGAGAGGAGAGAGGAAGUCCUGUGGAUCCCGGAGGACAACCAUUCCAAGCAGAAGGAACAGCCAGUGCAAAUGCCCUGAGGUGAAAAUGUGCCUGGUGUGUUCCGGGAACUGCCCCUGCGGCUGGAGUAGAAUGGCGGGGGAGAGGGGAUUGGUAAAUGGUAAGCAAUGCUUCUGGAGACGGGAAAAGGGGCAGUUCAGUCUGAGGGGACUGAGGGGCCUCAUGGGCUUUGACUUUUCCUCUGAGGUGGAUGGAGCCCCUGGAGGCUUCCCAGCAGGGGAGGACCCUGAUCUGGCUCAGGUAUUCACAAGAGACCUGUGGCUGCAUGGUGUGGGUGUGGGAAACAGUCUGUGGGAGGUGGGGCGGGAGCCAGGAAGACAGUGAGGAGGCUGAUUCAGGGGAACAGUCUGGAGAACAAGGUGGGUGGGAUCAGGGUGGGGGCCAUGGAGGGGUUGAAGUGGGAAGCUGUGGAUCUGUUUUGAAAGUAGAGCCCGCAGGACAGGCUGGGAGUAAAAGCUACCCAUGCGUGAUUCAAAAUCCCAAAUGUGGGGCUCACAGUGGUGGCCAGGAUCCCCAGCUCCUUUCGGUGCUCUAUCCACUAUGAGAUACUGCUUUUUAAAGGAGAAUCCCUUCCCUCUCUCUCUCCCUUUGAUGCAGACCUGUCCCAUGGCCUCCCCGGACCAGUUAUCUAAUCAGUGAUCUUUGGGGACAAGCAUAACUGCUCUUGGACACCUGCAUCUGGAGGUGGGGGUUCCCCUAGCCAGUAUCCCGUUUUUUUAAUGGUCCCGUCCCCGUGCUUUUCUAAAACCACCUUUUUGCACCGAAGACAUCUCAAGAAUUCCUUCCUCCUCACUGUUCCUGGCGCCUGUCGUGCACGCACCCACCGCAGGGCCUUUGCCCGGCUUUUCUCUGCCUGGAACAUCCUCCCCAGGUGGGUGCCUCUGCCUCUCGAGCCUGUGACUCUUGCCUCUGACAAGGUUUUGCUCAGGUGUCACCCUCUCUGUGACUUCUGAAAAAGUAUAAUCUCUCUUCCUCUUUUAUUUUUUAUUUUUUUUAAGAGAUUU